This 467-nucleotide ribosomal RNA is filed under the name uncultured bacterium. RNAcentral's name for it is "partial 16S ribosomal RNA". It matches the Rfam family "Bacterial small subunit ribosomal RNA", at positions 28 to 506 of the family's 1533-position model. The record is from RNAcentral.
GACGAACGCUGGCGGCGUGCUUAACACAUGCAAGUCGAACGGAAAGGCCCUGCUUUUGUGGGGUGCUCGAGUGGCGAACGGGUGAGUAACACGUGAGUAACCUGCCCUUGACUUUGGGAUAACUUCAGGAAACUGGGGCUAAUACCGGAUAGGAGCUCCUGCUGCAUGGUGGGGGUUGGAAAGUUUCGGCGGUUGGGGAUGGACUCGCGGCUUAUCAGCUUGUUGGUGGGGUAGUGGCUUACCAAGGCUUUGACGGGUAGCCGGCCUGAGAGGGUGACCGGCCACAUUGGGACUGAGAUACGGCCCAGACUCCUACGGGAGGCAGCAGUGGGGAAUAUUGCACAAUGGGCGGAAGCCUGAUGCAGCAACGCCGCGUGCGGGAUGACGGCCUUCGGGUUGGAAACCGCUUUCGCCUGUGACGAAGCGUGAGUGACGGUAAUGGGGAAAGAAGCACCGGCGAACUACGU